GAGGGUGUAGCUCAGUCGGUAGAGCAACGGACUUUUAAUCCGUUGGUCCAGGGUUCGAGUCCCUGCACCCUCA
Molecule: transfer RNA, 73 nt
Filed under: Rubripirellula sp.
Lineage: Bacteria; Pseudomonadati; Planctomycetota; Planctomycetia; Pirellulales; Pirellulaceae
Also listed under: 5 other names
Description: tRNA-Lys
Rfam family: tRNA
About the family: Transfer RNA (tRNA) molecules are approximately 80 nucleotides in length. Their secondary structure includes four short double-helical elements and three loops (D, anti-codon, and T loops).
Source: RNAcentral